Molecule: ribosomal RNA, 514 nt
Filed under: uncultured bacterium
Lineage: Bacteria
Description: partial 16S ribosomal RNA
Rfam family: Bacterial small subunit ribosomal RNA
Source: RNAcentral
GAUGAACGCUGGCGGCGUGCCUAAUACAUGCAAGUCGAGCGAACAGAUGAGAAGCUUGCUUCUCUGAUGUUAGCGGCGGACGGGUGAGUAACUCGUGGGUAACCUACCUAUAAGACUGGGAUAACUCCGGGAAACCGGGGCUAAUACCGGAUAAUAUUUUGAACCGCAUGGUUCAAUAGUGAAAGACGGUUUCGGCUGUCACUUAUAGAUGGACCCGCGCCGUAUUAGCUAGUUGGUAAGGUAACGGCUUACCAAGGCGACGAUACGUAGCCGACCUGAGAGGGUGGUCGGCCACACUGGAACUGAGACACGGUCCAGACUCCGACGGGAGGCAGCAGUAGGGAAUCUUCCGCAAUGGGCGAAAGCCUGACGGAGCAACGCCGCGUGAGUGAUGAAGGUCUUCGGAUCGUAAAACUCUGUUGUUAGGGAAGAACAAAUUUGUUAGUAACUGAACAAGUCUUGACGGUACCUAACCAGAAAGCCACGGCUAACUACGUGCCAGCAGCCGCCGUAA